This 326-nucleotide ribosomal RNA is filed under the name Lacticaseibacillus paracasei. RNAcentral describes it as "bacterial SSU rRNA". It matches the Rfam family "Bacterial small subunit ribosomal RNA", at positions 60 to 364 of the family's 1533-position model. Lineage: Bacteria; Bacillati; Bacillota; Bacilli; Lactobacillales; Lactobacillaceae. The record is from RNAcentral.
AGUUCUCGUUGAUGUAUCGGUGCUUGCACCGAGAUUCAACAUGGUAACGAGUGGCGGACGGGUGAGUAACACGUGGGUAACCUGCCCUUAAGUGGGGGAUAACAUUUGGAAACAGAUGCUAAUACCGCAUAGAUCCAAGAACCGCAUGGUUCUUGGCUGAAAGAUGGCGUAAGCUAUCGCUUUUGGAUGGACCCGCGGCGUAUUAGCUAGUUGGUGAGGUAAUGGCUCACCAAGGCGAUGAUACGUAGCCGAACUGAGAGGUUGAUCGGCCACAUUGGGACUGAGACACGGCCCAAACUCCUACGGGAGGCAGCAGUAGGGAAUCU